UGGCAACUCACUAUGGUGUAAGUUUGA
Molecule: non-coding RNA, 27 nt
Filed under: Mus musculus (house mouse)
Lineage: Eukaryota; Metazoa; Chordata; Mammalia; Rodentia; Muridae
Source: RNAcentral